AACGAGCGCUGGCGGCGCGCCUAAUACAUGCAAGUCGAGCGAGAAGACGUAGCAAUACGUUUGUAAAGCGGCGAACGGGUGAGGAAUACAUGGGUAACCUACCCUCGAGUGGGGAAUAACUAGCCGAAAGGUUAGCUAAUACCGCGUACGCUCCUUGGACUUCGGUUCAGGGAGGAAAGCGAUACCGUGGGUAUCGCGCUCUUGGAUGGGCUCAUGUCCUAUCAGCUUGUUGGNGAGGUAACGGCUCACCAAGGCUUCGACGGGUAGCUGGUCUGAGAGGACAAUCAGCCACACUGGCACUGCGACACGGGCCAGACUCCUACGGGUGGCAGCAGUAGGGAAUAUUGCACAAUGGGCGAAAGCCUGAUGCAGCAACGCCGCGUGCAUGAUGAAGGCCUUCGGGUCGUAAA
RNAcentral lists this ribosomal RNA (410 nucleotides) under uncultured bacterium. RNAcentral's name for it is "bacterial SSU rRNA". It matches the Rfam family "Bacterial small subunit ribosomal RNA", at positions 29 to 429 of the family's 1533-position model. The record is from RNAcentral.